UUUUUAUUAUUGUUGCAACUGCUUUUGGCAUCUUUGUCUCAAAGUCUUUGCCAGGUCCUAUGUCCAGGAUAGUAUUCCCUAGGUUAUCUUUCAGGGGUUUUAUUGGUUUUUUUAUUUUAGAUUUAAGUUUUUAACCCAUCUAAGUUGAUUUUUGUACAUGGUGUAACGAAGGGGUCCAGCUCUACUCUUCUGUAUAUGGCUUGUCAGUUAUCCCAGCACCAUUUACUGAAUAGGAAGUCUUUUCCCAUUGCUUGUUUUUUUAACUCUGGGAAAGAU
Long non-coding RNA from Sapajus apella (tufted capuchin), 276 nucleotides. RefSeq lists it as uncharacterized. The transcript is spliced from 3 exons. The record is from RefSeq and is a predicted model, not a curated record. NCBI's taxonomy places the organism in Eukaryota, Metazoa, Chordata, Mammalia, Primates, Cebidae.